This 65-nucleotide transfer RNA is filed under the name Gyrodactylus brachymystacis. RNAcentral's name for it is "tRNA-Trp". Lineage: Eukaryota; Metazoa; Platyhelminthes; Monogenea; Gyrodactylidea; Gyrodactylidae. The record is from RNAcentral.
AGGUGGUUACGUUAAUACAGACGAUUUGUUUUCAAAACAAAAAGUGCAUUACAUUGCACCACCUG